RNAcentral lists this unclassified non-coding RNA (346 nucleotides) under soil metagenome. RNAcentral's name for it is "partial contains 5.8S ribosomal RNA, internal transcribed spacer 2, and large subunit ribosomal RNA". The stretch from base 1 to 120 matches the Rfam family "5.8S ribosomal RNA", at positions 35 to 154 of the family's 154-position model. The record is from RNAcentral.
GAUGAAGAACGUAGCGAAAUGCGAUAAGUAAUGUGAAUUGCAGAAUUCAGUGAAUCAUCGAGUCUUUGAACGCACAUUGCGCCCCCUGGUAUUCCGGGGGGCAUGCCUGUCCGAGCGUCAUUGCUGCCCUCAAGCCCGGCUUGUGUGUUGGGUCUCGUCCCCCUUCCCGGGGGGACGGGCCCGAAAGGCAGCGGCGGCACCGCGUCCGGUCCUCGAGCGUAUGGGGCUUUGUCACCCGCUCUGUAGGCCCGGCCGGCGCUUGCCGAUCAACCAGAACUUUUUUCCAGGUUGACCUCGGAUCAGGUAGGGAUACCCGCUGAACUUAAGCAUAUCAAUAAGCGGAGGA